CAGAUAUUUUUGUAUAUGGCAAAAAAAAAAAGAAAGAUUAUAUGGCUUAUUGAGAUUGGAAUCGCAAAUUGAGAUUUGUUAACAACAAUUAAAAAUGAAAAAAAUGAGAAAAUAUGACUUAAAGGCAAUUGAACUGGGCAUGAUAUAUAAGUGCCAAGUAAAGAUAAUUCCCUAUGUGAUUAAUGAUGUACACAGAAUCAUUGGUACCCAGGGCAACAUUUUUUGGCCCCCUAUCUCCUUUCAAAAAAACAUCUGUUUUAAAAUUAAUACUCUGAUGUCGGCACUAUUGAGCAGACCUUUGGGGUUGUUCACUGGUAGGUCUUUAUUGGCC
Molecule: long non-coding RNA, 331 nt
Filed under: Androctonus crassicauda
Lineage: Eukaryota; Metazoa; Arthropoda; Arachnida; Scorpiones; Buthidae
Source: RNAcentral